AUACGUAGGGGGCAAGCGUUGUCCGGAAUUAUUGGGCGUAAAGGGCGCGCAGGCGGUCUUUUAAGUCUUGUGUUUAAACCCGGGGCUCAACCUCGGGACGCACGGGAAACUGGGAGGCUUGAGUGCAGGAGAGGAAAGUGGAAUUCCACGUGUAGCGGUGAAAUGCGUAGAGAUGUGGAGGGACACCAGUGGCGAAGGCGACUUUCUGGCCUGCAACUGACGCUGAGGCGCGAAAGCGUGGGGAGCGAACAGGAUUAGAUACCCUGGUAGUCCACGCCGUAAACGAUGAAUGCUAGGUGUUAGGGAGCACGAACUCCUUAGUGCCGAAGUCAACACAUUAAGCAUUCCGCCUGGGGAGUACGGUCGCAAGACUGAA
Molecule: ribosomal RNA, 376 nt
Filed under: uncultured bacterium
Lineage: Bacteria
Description: bacterial SSU rRNA
Rfam family: Bacterial small subunit ribosomal RNA
Source: RNAcentral